Long non-coding RNA from Coregonus clupeaformis (lake whitefish), 317 nucleotides. RefSeq lists it as uncharacterized. NCBI's taxonomy places the organism in Eukaryota, Metazoa, Chordata, Actinopteri, Salmoniformes, Salmonidae. The record is from RefSeq and is a predicted model, not a curated record. The transcript is spliced from 3 exons.
AGUAUGUGGAUGAGGAGGUUCGGCAGCGGCCCUGUCUGGCUUUAAUCCCUUGGUCUGGACCCUUGUGUGUUCCUGUCUCUACCACCUCUUCUGCCCUGAAAGGUGUCAUCCAGUUGGGCAUCAUCCACACAUUGGGCAGCCUGUGCCAGAGGCAAAAGAGAGAUGUACUCUUCAAGGACUUUGAAGAUGUGGAGAGCAGCUCCUUCCCCAGUAAGGGCAGUAACCUGACCCCAGCCCACCACUAUGGUGACUUCAGGUUCAAUGCUUACGCUCCCCUCGGCUUUCGCUACCUCAGGGAGAUGUUUGGCAUCCGGGCC